ACCUGGUUGAUUCUGCCAGUAGUCAUAUGCUUGUCUCAAAGAUAAGCCAUGCAGUCUAAGUGAGUG
This 66-nucleotide ribosomal RNA is filed under the name Verticillium dahliae. RNAcentral's name for it is "partial 18S ribosomal RNA". Lineage: Eukaryota; Fungi; Ascomycota; Sordariomycetes; Glomerellales; Plectosphaerellaceae. The record is from RNAcentral.